UGGGGAAUAUUGGACAAUGGGGGCAACCCUGAUCCAGCCAUGCCGCGUGAGUGAUGAAGGCCCUAGGGUUGUAAAGCUCUUUUGUGCGGGAAGAUAAUGACGGUACCGCAAGAAUAAGCCCCGGCUAACUUCGUGCCAGCAGCCGCGGUAAUACGAAGGGGGCUAGCGUUGCUCGGAAUCACUGGGCGUAAAGGGUGCGUAGGCGGGUUUCUAAGUCAGAGGUGAAAGCCUGGAGCUCAACUCCAGAACUGCCUUUGAUACUGGAAGUCUUGAGUAUGGCAGAGGUGAGUGGAACUGCGAGUGUAGAGGUGAAAUUCGUAGAUAUUCGCAAGAACACCAGUGGCGAAGGCGGCUCACUGGGCCAUUACUGACGCUGAGGCACGAAAGCGUGGGGAGCAAAACAGGAUUAGAUACCCUGGUAGUCCACGCCGUAAACGAUGAAUGCCAGCCGUUAGUGGGUUUUACUCACUAGUGGCGCAGCUAACGCUUUUAAGCAUUCCGCCUGGGGAGUACGGUCGCAAGAUUAAAAACUUAAAUGAAUUGACGGGGUCAUAGCUGUUUCCU
RNAcentral lists this ribosomal RNA (564 nucleotides) under uncultured bacterium. Its description in RNAcentral is "partial 16S ribosomal RNA". It matches the Rfam family "Bacterial small subunit ribosomal RNA", at positions 355 to 1375 of the family's 1533-position model. The record is from RNAcentral.